Molecule: small nucleolar RNA, 200 nt
Organism: Takifugu rubripes (torafugu)
Lineage: Eukaryota; Metazoa; Chordata; Actinopteri; Tetraodontiformes; Tetraodontidae
Product: small nucleolar RNA SNORA53
Source: Ensembl
CACACGCUCCUUAGAUCCACCUCUGGAGGGCGCUGCUUCCUGAGCCUCGCUCCUCAGCAGCUUCCUGCUGUACCGUCGGAGGUGCUUGAGUCAUUGGCGUGUUAGAGCAGUCCACCUGUCCUCCAGCCCUCCUGCAGCACCGACAAGCCUGUGUUCUGCACAGGCAGCUCUCGCUGCUGUGGUGCUGGGAGACGGACACA